Molecule: ribosomal RNA, 327 nt
Filed under: uncultured eukaryote
Lineage: Eukaryota
Description: partial 18S ribosomal RNA
Rfam family: Eukaryotic small subunit ribosomal RNA
Source: RNAcentral
CCCUUAGAUGUUCUGGGCCGCACGCGCGCUACACUGAUGCAUGCAACAAGUCUUUUCCUUGGCCGUGAGGCCUGGGCAAUCUUUGAAUAUGCAUCGUGAUGGGGAUAGACGAUUGCAAUUAUUCGUCUUCAACGAGGAAUUCCUAGUAAACGCAAGUCAUCAGCUUGCAUUGAUUACGUCCCUGCCCUUUGUACACACCGCCCGUCGCACCUACCGAUUGAAUGGUCCGGUGAAGGCUUCGGAGGCGGCUUUCUCAAUGUUUAUUCGGCGAGACUGCUGCCAAAGUUGAAUGAACCUUACCAUUUAGAGGAAGGUGAAGUCGUAACA